This is a long non-coding RNA of Homo sapiens (human), 2564 nucleotides long. Ensembl annotates it as Gfo/Idh/MocA-like oxidoreductase domain containing 3, pseudogene. Its record names the gene GFOD3P. Lineage: Eukaryota; Metazoa; Chordata; Mammalia; Primates; Hominidae. The record is from Ensembl.
GGCUUUACACGACUACGCGGCGGAGUUCACCGACCUGGUGGUGAAGCACCUGAUUGAGCACAGUGACUCUGGGGACACGUCUGUGGUGGAGACCCUUUACUGCAGGGCCUGCGAGCUGCCCGUGCGCGUGCGGAGGGACCGCAUCCUGGAACACCUGUCCUCGGGCAGGCAGCACGGCCUGCGGACGCCCAUUCUCAUGUAAAUGUCAGUGCCAACGCUGGUGUUUCAGGAGUCAUCCCAGCGGGCUGCGGGCUAUUUUAGGAUUCUCUGCCCUGCAAACGUUUCCAAACUCAGCCGCCUCGGAUCUCGCUGCCACCAGCCUUACUGCACACCCGUGCCACCCGCCCUUGCCCCGUCAGCCUCAGCCUCAGCUCAUUCUCUCAGGCAGUCCCAGCAUUGGCACGGUACCUCCUCCCGCUGUGGGCCACACGUCUCUGCUCCCUGUCAACCCUCCUGCCAUCAGCACCACCACCAGCGACUUGUCUGCCCGGGAGGAUGCAACACCAUCUGCCUCCACCGGCCACCUUUCAGUGUUUCCUGCUUUCCAAGUAAAGAUACCAGCAGUGCCCUCAGAGCAGACCAGCCAGAGUUUUUCUGAAGCCUCCCACAGGGUGCUCCCCGGAGGAGGCCCGAGAUGCUCUCGUGACUUUGGAGCCGGGGUGGCUGGCCACCUUGGCCUGGGCAUCUUUGGGGUGGGCUUCGGGAGCCCGGCACUGCUGCAGAGUGUGGUGGAUGAGAACAGCUGCUGCUUGCUGUACGUGGUGGAGGACCAGCUGUGUGAUGUGGAGCAAGCCUUCAGAGCUGAGCAUUUGGGCCAACACCAGAGUGGUUCGGGAACAGGAUGCAGACAUUGUCCUCAACGACCAGCGGCACUUUGAUCCGGUUUUCCAGUUCUUGCACAAGCAAGUUUGUGUCAGCCACGCCCUGGGGAGGAUCCACUGGAUCACCGCCGUCACUGCCUGUUCCCGGCGGCCUCUCCGGCUUCCCUAAAGAGAGCAGGUGGGACUUUCUACAACGCUGCUGUGCACGACGUGGAUGCCGUAUGCAUGUUGCUGGGGGAAGCCACUCCGGACACUGUGUUUUCUCUGGGACAUGUCUUCUGCCCAGAUAUGGCCGCCUUAAAAGAUGCAGAUGCUGUUGUGAUCAGCAUGAAGUUUCCCUGUGAGGCCGUGGUUAGCGUGGACAUCAGCCAGCACUGCACAGACAGCUGCGACCAGGACGUCAGCCAGCACUGCACAGACAGCUGCGACCAGAGACUGGAGGGAAAUAACCUCCUGAAAUCACCAAAGAGCAGUUCCUCAGGGCCUUCCGGGUGACCGUGGCCGUGGAGCAGUCGUGGUGAAACCGGUCAGCUGUGGACCUGCCCUGCGAAUCGGCAGAGGCCUCCGUGGUGAAGACAGAAGCUCCGUGAACCAACUCGAGGCUGGAGCCAAGAUCCUGCCUGAUAUCCAGUUGCCUGUUUCACUUGUUACUGUUACUGGGAGAGGGAGACAAAACCUCAUGGCAAUCUUGUCCUCACUGGAGACUCAGAAGGGGAAGCAUUGGGAAACCAUGUAUGUUUCAUUUCUGGUUUAACCAGGCUUUUCAGGAUGGGACUUCAGACCAAGGACACAAGUUGGGCUUGCUUAGGUGUUUUGUGUUGUGCGCAGGCCUCAGAGAUGCUCUUCCGGUCAGAGUUCCCUUGGCAGGGCCUUGGAGGCCUCUGGUUGGCUCUCUCAGGAAGAGGGCAGGUCAGGGAUUGGGCGGUGUAAAUUGACUCAGAAACCUGCGGUUUCAGCUUUUCUGUGGCAAACAGGGCCGAGGGCUGGUGAAGCUGUUAAGGCUAAAUGUCGCAUGCAUGAGGCGGGCUGCAGGCCUCCUUAGGCCUUUUUUGGGGUAAUUACACCAGUAUUUAAAAACAUUUUUUUUUGUUUGUUUUGAGAUGGAGUCUUGCCCUGUCACCCAGGCUGGAGUGCAAUGGUGCGAUCUCGGCUCACUGCAACCUCCGUCUCCCAGGUUCAAGCGAUUCUUCUGCCUCAGCCUUCUGAGUAGCUGGGAUUACACGCGUGUGCCACCACGCUCGGCUAAUUUUUGUAUUUUUAGUAGAGAUGGGAUUUCACCAUGUUGGCCAGGCUGGUCUCGAACUACUGACCUCGUGAUCCACCUGCCAUGGCCUCCCAAAGUGCUGGGAUUACAGGCGUGAGCCACCAUGCUCGGCCUAAAAAACAAUUUUCUUGAAGAAUCCGAUUUUGUGCAUAGUAAUGACACAGCACCAUUCCUGAGAAAUAGGAAAUAUAUGUGUGUGGUAUGAAAAGCCCAUAUUCUGUUCUUGUCACCUGAAUCUAGGCUUCCUCUUUGGAUGUGAACGCGGGAAUGAACAGUGGCUGUUUUCCACCCAAAGGGGCGUGGAGACCUUUUGGAAACGGGCUUUCUCCUUUCCAUUUUGCAGCCGGGGGCGGGUGGAAACCUUCCUUCGAAGGGUAGUGCCUUGGGGAGCAGCAGACCUGCUCUGAGUCCAGCUUAGCUUUCCAAAAUUCUGUGUGGAACUUACUGGAGAUGUUUUUAUAUAUUUGAAAAUAAUGGCC